Molecule: ribosomal RNA, 253 nt
Filed under: uncultured bacterium
Lineage: Bacteria
Description: partial 16S ribosomal RNA
Rfam family: Bacterial small subunit ribosomal RNA
Source: RNAcentral
UACGUAGGGCGCAAGCGUUGUCCGGAAUUAUUGGGCGUAAAGAGCUCGUAGGUGGCUUGUCACGUCGGGUGUGAAAGCUUGGGGCUUAACUCCAGGUCUGCAUUCGAUACGGGCUGGCUAGAGGUAGGUAGGGGAGAACGGAAUUCCUGGUGUAGCGGUGAAAUGCGCAGAUAUCAGGAGGAACACCGGUGGCGAAGGCGGUUCUCUGGGCCAUUACUGACGCUGAGGAGCGAAAGCGUGGGGAGCGAACAGG